This 691-nucleotide ribosomal RNA is filed under the name uncultured bacterium. Its description in RNAcentral is "bacterial SSU rRNA". It matches the Rfam family "Bacterial small subunit ribosomal RNA", at positions 32 to 715 of the family's 1533-position model. The record is from RNAcentral.
AACGCUAGCUACAGGCUUAACACAUGCAAGUCGAGGGGCAGCAUUGGAGUAGCAAUACUUCAGAUGGCGACCGGCGCACGGGUGAGUAACACGUAUCCAACCUGCCGCUUACUCGGGGAUAGCCUUUCGAAAGAAAGAUUAAUACCCGAUGGUAUAAAGAGUUCGCAUGUUCUCUUUAUUAAAGAAUUUCGGUAAGCGAUGGGGAUGCGUUCCAUUAGAUAGUUGGCGGGGUAACGGCCCACCAAGUCUACGAUGGAUAGGGGUUCUGAGAGGAAGGUCCCCCACAUUGGAACUGAGACACGGUCCAAACUCCUACGGGAGGCAGCAGUGAGGAAUAUUGGUCAAUGGACGAGAGUCUGAACCAGCCAAGUAGCGUGAAGGAUGACUGCCCUAUGGGUUGUAAACUUCUUUUAUAAGGGAAUAAAGUGAGGGACGUGUCCCUUUUUGUAUGUACCUUAUGAAUAAGGAUCGGCUAACUCCGUGCCAGCAGCCGCGGUAAUACGGAGGAUCCAAGCGUUAUCCGGAUUUAUUGGGUUUAAAGGGAGCGUAGGUUGACAUAUAAGUCAGCUGUGAAAGUUUACGGCUCAACCGUGAAAUUGCAGUUGAUACUGUAUGUCUUGAGUGUACAAGAGGUGGACGGAAUUCGUGGUGUAGCGGUGAAAUGCUUAGAUAUCACGAAGAACUCCGAUUG